RNAcentral lists this ribosomal RNA (1147 nucleotides) under Escherichia coli. Its description in RNAcentral is "partial 23S ribosomal RNA". It matches the Rfam family "Bacterial large subunit ribosomal RNA", at positions 1 to 1191 of the family's 2925-position model. Lineage: Bacteria; Pseudomonadati; Pseudomonadota; Gammaproteobacteria; Enterobacterales; Enterobacteriaceae. The record is from RNAcentral.
GUUAAGCGACUAAGCGUACACGGUGGAUGCCCUGGCAGUCAGAGGCGAUGAAGGACGUGCUAAUCUGCGAUAAGCGUCGGUAAGGUGAUAUGAACCGUUAUAACCGGCGAUUUCCGAAUGGGGAAACCCAGUGUGAUUCGUCACACUAUCAUUAACUGAAUCCAUAGGUUAAUGAGGCGAACCGGGGGAACUGAAACAUCUAAGUACCCCGAGGAAAAGAAAUCAACCGAGAUUCCCCCAGUAGCGGCGAGCGAACGGGGAGCAGCCCAGAGCCUGAAUCAGUGUGUGUGUUAGUGGAAGCGUCUGGAAAGGCGCGCGAUACAGGGUGACAGCCCCGUACACAAAAAUGCACAUAUUGUGAGCUCGAUGAGUAGGGCGGGACACGUGGUAUCCUGUCUGAAUAUGGGGGGACCAUCCUCCAAGGCUAAAUACUCCUGACUGACCGAUAGUGAACCAGUACCGUGAGGGAAAGGCGAAAAGAACCCCGGCGAGGGGAGUGAAAAAGAACCUGAAACCGUGUACGUACAAGCAGUGGGAGCCUCUUUAUGGGGUGACUGCGUACCUUUUGUAUAAUGGGUCAGCGACUUAUAUUCUGUAGCAAGGUUAACCGAAUAGGGGAGCCGAAGGGAAACCGAGUCUUAACUGGGCGUUAAGUUGCAGGGUAUAGACCCGAAACCCGGUGAUCUAGCCAUGGGCAGGUUGAAGGUUGGGUAACACUAACUGGAGGACCGAACCGACUAAUGUUGAAAAAUUAGCGGAUGACUUGUGGCUGGGGGUGAAAGGCCAAUCAAACCGGGAGAUAGCUGGUUCUCCCCGAAAGCUAUUUAGGUAGCGCCUCGUGAAUUCAUCUCCGGGGGUAGAGCACUGUUUCGGCAAGGGGGUCAUCCCGACUUACCAACCCGAUGCAAACUGCGAAUACCGGAGAAUGUUAUCACGGGAGACACACGGCGGGUGCUAACGUCCGUCGUGAAGAGGGAAACAACCCAGACCGCCAGCUAAGGUCCCAAAGUCAUGGUUAAGUGGGAAACGAUGUGGGAAGGCCCAGACAGCCAGGAUGUUGGCUUAGAAGCAGCCAUCAUUUAAAGAAAGCGUAAUAGCUCACUGGUCGAGUCGGCCUGCGCGGAAGAUGUAACGGGGCUAAACCAUG